CGGCGGUGUCCACCUCUUCCCAUUCCGAACAGAGAAGUUAAGCCCGCCAGAGCCGAUGGUACUGCAGUAACAUGUGGGAGAGUAGGUCGGUGCCAGAU
Molecule: ribosomal RNA, 98 nt
Filed under: Flavobacterium sp.
Lineage: Bacteria; Pseudomonadati; Bacteroidota; Flavobacteriia; Flavobacteriales; Flavobacteriaceae
Source: RNAcentral